UCUUGUCACCAGGGGUGCUGCCGAAGAAGGCCACGGCGGCUGAGACCAUACCCUUACGAACCUGAUCCGGUUAAGACCGGCGGAGGGAGCGUGACGUCGGGGACGC
This 106-nucleotide non-coding RNA is filed under the name Truepera radiovictrix. Its description in RNAcentral is "TPP sequence". It matches the Rfam family "TPP riboswitch aptamer (THI element)". Rfam says of the family: Vitamin B(1) in its active form thiamin pyrophosphate (TPP) is an essential coenzyme that is synthesised by coupling of pyrimidine and thiazole moieties in bacteria. The previously detected thiamin-regulatory element, thi box was extended, resulting in a new, highly conserved RNA secondary structure, the THI element, which is widely distributed in eubacteria and also occurs in some archaea. RNAcentral also lists the same sequence under 1 other name. Lineage: Bacteria; Thermotogati; Deinococcota; Deinococci; Trueperales; Trueperaceae. The record is from RNAcentral.